AGUGAACGCUGGCGGUAGGCCUAACACAUGCAAGUCGAACGGCAGCACAGUAAGAGCUUGCUCUUACGGGUGGCGAGUGGCGGACGGGUGAGGAAUACAUCGGAAUCUACUUUUUCGUGGGGGAUAACGUAGGGAAACUUACGCUAAUACCGCAUACGACCUACGGGUGAAAGCAGGGGAUCUUCGGACCUUGCGCGAUUGGAUGAGCCGAUGUCGGAUUAGCUAGUUGGCGGGGUAAAGGCCCACCAAGGCGACGAUCCGUAGCUGGUCUGGGAGGAUGAUCAGCCACACUGGAACUGAGACACGGUCCAGACUCCUACGGGAGGCAGCAGUGGGGAAUAUUGGACAAUGGGCGCAAGCCUGAUCCAGCCAUACCGCGUGGGUGAAGAAGGCCUUCGGGUUGUAAAGCCCUUUUGUUGGGAAAGAAAAGCAGCAGGUUAAUACCCCGCUGUUCUGACGGUACCCAAAGAAUAAGCACCGGCUAACUUCGUG
RNAcentral lists this ribosomal RNA (492 nucleotides) under uncultured bacterium. RNAcentral describes it as "partial 16S ribosomal RNA". It matches the Rfam family "Bacterial small subunit ribosomal RNA", at positions 29 to 507 of the family's 1533-position model. The record is from RNAcentral.